This 378-nucleotide ribosomal RNA is filed under the name Escherichia coli. RNAcentral's name for it is "partial 23S ribosomal RNA". It matches the Rfam family "Bacterial large subunit ribosomal RNA", at positions 1237 to 1617 of the family's 2925-position model. Lineage: Bacteria; Pseudomonadati; Pseudomonadota; Gammaproteobacteria; Enterobacterales; Enterobacteriaceae. The record is from RNAcentral.
CGUUCUGUAAGCCUGUGAAGGUGUGCUGUGAGGCAUGCUGGAGGUAUCAGAAGUGCGAAUGCUGACAUAAGUAACGAUAAAGCGGGUGAAAAGCCCGCUCGCCGGAAGACCAAGGGUUCCUGUCCAACGUUAAUCGGGGCAGGGUGAGUCGACCCCUAAGGCGAGGCCGAAAGGCGUAGUCGAUGGGAAACAGGUUAAUAUUCCUGUACUUGGUGUUACUGCGAAGGGGGGACGGAGAAGGCUAUGUUGGCCGGGCGACGGUUGUCCCGGUUUAAGCGUGUAGGCUGGUUUUCCAGGCAAAUCCGGAAAAUCAAGGCUGAGGCGUGAUGACGAGGCACUACGGUGCUGAAGCAACAAAUGCCCUGCUUCCAGGAAAAG